This is a long non-coding RNA of Monodelphis domestica (gray short-tailed opossum), 1579 nucleotides long. The record is from Ensembl. Lineage: Eukaryota; Metazoa; Chordata; Mammalia; Didelphimorphia; Didelphidae.
GGGAGUUAUUGAGUUUAACAGUCACUCCUUACCUGGCUUUUCUCUAAGCUAGAAAGGGGGACUUUUGUUCUAUCAUCUUCUGGGAAUAGACUAAUCUUGAGGAAAGAUUAGGAAAGUCCUGGGUGUGGAGAACUGCCUUGGAUAUCUGUCUUUCCCUGAAGUUCUGAGACCAGUCUGGCUGAGACAACUUUGUUAAGAAUUAGAGAUGAGGAAAACAAUGUCUGAGCAGAAGGUUCUGCCUACCCUGGUUCUCUGACAAAAUCCCUUUACUGUACUUAUUGAGAGAAAGAGCGUGAGAGACAGAUGGAAAGAUGCAGAAAGAAAGAGGUAAAGAUGGAAACAUUAGCAGAACAGAAGUACCAGCUGCAGCAAAAUAGAAGUGUCCUGAGAAGAGAAGAGAUGGCCAAACCAUUAUGACUCAUUUCACAGAACAAGGAUUGAAGCAUAUGGAAAGUAAUUACAUUCAAAAUAUGCUAGAAAGUGAUUUCAUGAAUAAAGAUACAUCCCUCUCUACUCAAACUGACAGGCAGAGGCAAAAGAGCCAAAACAGGUACAGAAACUGCGUGUUCAGGAUUGUCGUCGUCUGGUCAGCAUGCCACUCUUGCCUGCCGUCGAUCUUGACUGUAGUCCUGUGUUCUUCAAUUCAGGAACAAACUGGAACAAUCAGGAACAUACUGGAAUAAUCAGGAACAUGCAUGCAUGUAAGGUUUUUACAAGUGCAUGUAUAUAAGACUAAAAUUUUCAUUGUGCAUGGAAGUAAGCUAUGAGUUCUUCAUGAGUGCUUGUCAGAAUUCAUCAGUUAUUUUUCAUGUGUGGAAGUGAGCAUUACGUGAGUUUAUCUUCAUGAGUGGAAGUUAUGUUAAUCUUAUGUUAAUAUGUUAAUCUUCAUGGAUGGGUGUAAGCAGUAUAGGUUCUUAGAUUUAUUGUUAAGAAUAUGAAUUUGAAGUUUUCUUAUCUUUUUGCUGUGUAAGUUUUUCACAAGGAGAUUUAUUGUAUGUUGUCUUUAGCUAUGUCUUGGAGAUAGAAUUUAGAUAUAAUGUAAUUCGUUUGGUCAUGGAGUAUGUUUUCAUUUGAAAUAAUCUUGUUACUUUCUUUGCUGUUAUUAUUGUAGGCAGAGAGUUUGUAUAGAAUAUGUAGAUAUUUUUCUAUGGCUUCUAAUCUUUUAAAUGCAUAUUUCUUUUACUCUGUUUUACUGGCUUUUGAAGUGCUUUCCUUUCAUAGUUUCCAUUCAUAGGCUGUCAUUUUAACAUGUGCAAUGCUCUCUUACCUGUACUAUCUGUUGAUAAGUAGUCUUGUGUGCUUUUCUUUAUUUUCCAUUCACAGGCUUUCAUUCACAAGGACUGUUAGUGAUUUCUUCUAGGGCAAUUCGUGUUGCUUCUUAUGACUAGGGAUGGUUUUUUUAUAUCAGAUGUCAUUUGCAUGUAUCUUCAUUGAUGACAUGAUCACAUUGUUGUUUCUUGUGAGGUAUCUGAAACUAUGAGGUGAUAUCUUCCUGGUAUACCCUCCCUCUCUUCCUUCCCCUGGUAGAGACUGUUAAGGAUGAAGGCUGAGAGAUACGAAUAACCCUUUUCAGUUCUCA